AUUGAACGCUGGCGACAUGCCUUACACAUGCAAGUCGAACGGCAGCACGGGUGCUUGCCCCUGGUGGCGAGUGGCGAACGGGUGAGUAAUACAUCGGAACAUGUCCUGUAGUGGGGGAUAGCCCGGCGAAAGCCGGAUUAAUACCGCAUACGAUCUACGGAUGAAAGCGGGGGACCUUCGGGCCUCGCGCUAUAGGGUUGGCCGAUGGCUGAUUAGCUAGUUGGUGGGGUAAAGGCCUACCAAGGCGACGAUCAGUAGCUGGUCUGAGAGGACGACCAGCCACACUGGGACUGAGACACGGCCCAGACUCCUACGGGAGGCAGCAGUGGGGAAUUUUGGACAAUGGGCGAAAGCCUGAUCCAGCAAUGCCGCGUGUGUGAAGAAGGCCUUCGGGUUGUAAAGCACUUUUGUCCGGAAAGAAAUCCUUGGCCCUAAUACGGUCGGGGGAUGACGGUACCGGAAGAAUAAGCACCGGCUAACUACGUG
This 486-nucleotide ribosomal RNA is filed under the name uncultured bacterium. RNAcentral describes it as "partial 16S ribosomal RNA". It matches the Rfam family "Bacterial small subunit ribosomal RNA", at positions 30 to 507 of the family's 1533-position model. The record is from RNAcentral.